RNAcentral lists this long non-coding RNA (1292 nucleotides) under Musa acuminata (dwarf banana). RNAcentral describes it as "long non-coding RNA (MACU_LNC004405)". Lineage: Eukaryota; Viridiplantae; Streptophyta; Magnoliopsida; Zingiberales; Musaceae. The record is from RNAcentral.
UGAGUUAUCCAUUGUCCCAUAGCUGUUGUAUGAGCUAUACUACUGCUGCAGGCUGAGAGAUAGCUGCAGCUGCAUUGCAGUGGUGCAAGUCCCUUUGGAUAAUACAAUUUCAUCAUGUAUCUUUACUUGCUGUAGCAGAUUGGCCUUCUGUAUUGGAUUUUAUUAUUGUAAUGUUAGAUUAUGUUAUAUUCCCUUGGCAGAAUGCAUUAUUGCAAGUAUCCUGACAUGUAAAAAGCAUGCCAACAAGAUUCUCUUUUAAGAACAACCUCUGUAUCAGAUACUGCCUUGAGUUCCCUUAUCAUUCUGCAUAAUCAUACAGUGUCAUAUGAUUGACAAAAAGUACAGAAUCUUUAUACUAAUUUCAGUGGCAAGACAACUGAAGAAAGGACAGGAUUAAUAGAGAGGUUGUUUCUACAUCAACAGAGAAGCAACCACUGAUAUCAAAGUCAAGCUGGUCAAAGAUCAUGACUAAGAUUCUGAUCUGCUUAUAGUAGAAAUUCCUAAGUUAUUUGUAGAUAGAAAUUCCUAUAAUACAACACUGUUGCAGAAGAUACUGGAGAAUAUCUGAAGGUCCUUCAUACAAAUAAUAAUAAAUAAAAUAUAUAUAUAUAUAUAUAUACAAAAUUAGUAGUUUUGUAAGUCUAAUAUUUUUACACCCUUUGUAUAUAAUUAGGGUUCAAAUAGCACAUGGUGUUUUUUUUUUUUCCUUUUUUUAUAUAAUUAUUUUUUAUUAAGAUUAUUCUAAAAUGAGGACCAAAAGGUAAGUCCAAUCCUAGCCAAAAGACAAAAAUAUAUGAUGGGUCAAAUGGAUAAUGUAUUGUUGCAUAGGUGAUAGGUCUCACACUCGAGUUUAGCGUCAAACGAAAAAUUCUUCUGAUUUUGGAAAAAAAAUAAUUAGUCAAAGCAAUCAUUUGACAAGGAAAAUAAAUCUUAUAAAUAGUUCAGGGUCUCAUUUCCAUGUUGUGAGCCAUUUAGUCAAAGUGAAAGAGAGAGAGAGAGAGAGAGAGAGAGAGAGAGAGUUCAGCCUGUGCGAGUCUACUCUGUCUUUGUCGGUCGAGAGCAGAAGAAAGAACAAUUUAGAGGACGACAUGAAGCAACCUAAUGGUGUGCAGUUAAGAACAUUAGUAGAGAUGAUAUAAAAGACACGUCUCCUGGGGGGAAAAGUAGAGGAGACAUGAGUAUAUUUAGGUCGUACCUGCAUCGCGAGUUGGAUUUCGAAGGAGGAGGUGAGAUGCCUAUGUUGGAGAAGGAGAUCACAUGCAAAGAUGGAGACGUAGAGAGAGAGAGAGAGA